RNAcentral lists this ribosomal RNA (1536 nucleotides) under Mycoplasmoides pneumoniae. Its description in RNAcentral is "bacterial SSU rRNA". It matches the Rfam family "Bacterial small subunit ribosomal RNA". Lineage: Bacteria; Bacillati; Mycoplasmatota; Mycoplasmoidales; Mycoplasmoidaceae. RNAcentral also lists the same sequence under 7 other names. The record is from RNAcentral.
AAUCUGUCAAUUUUUCUGAGAGUUUGAUCCUGGCUCAGGAUUAACGCUGGCGGCAUGCCUAAUACAUGCAAGUCGAUCGGAAGUAGUAAUACUUUAGAGGCGAACGGGUGAGUAACACGUAUCCAAUCUACCUUAUAAUGGGGGAUAACUAGUUGAAAGACUAGCUAAUACCGCAUAAGAACUUUGGUUCGCAUGAAUCAAAGUUGAAAGGACCUGCAAGGGUUCGUUAUUUGAUGAGGGUGCGCCAUAUCAGCUAGUUGGUGGGGUAACGGCCUACCAAGGCAAUGACGUGUAGCUAUGCUGAGAAGUAGAAUAGCCACAAUGGGACUGAGACACGGCCCAUACUCCUACGGGAGGCAGCAGUAGGGAAUUUUUCACAAUGAGCGAAAGCUUGAUGGAGCAAUGCCGCGUGAACGAUGAAGGUCUUUAAGAUUGUAAAGUUCUUUUAUUUGGGAAGAAUGACUUUAGCAGGUAAUGGCUAGAGUUUGACUGUACCAUUUUGAAUAAGUGACGACUAACUAUGUGCCAGCAGUCGCGGUAAUACAUAGGUCGCAAGCGUUAUCCGGAUUUAUUGGGCGUAAAGCAAGCGCAGGCGGAUUGAAAAGUCUGGUGUUAAAGGCAGCUGCUUAACAGUUGUAUGCAUUGGAAACUAUUAAUCUAGAGUGUGGUAGGGAGUUUUGGAAUUUCAUGUGGAGCGGUGAAAUGCGUAGAUAUAUGAAGGAACACCAGUGGCGAAGGCGAAAACUUAGGCCAUUACUGACGCUUAGGCUUGAAAGUGUGGGGAGCAAAUAGGAUUAGAUACCCUAGUAGUCCACACCGUAAACGAUAGAUACUAGCUGUCGGGGCGAUCCCCUCGGUAGUGAAGUUAACACAUUAAGUAUCUCGCCUGGGUAGUACAUUCGCAAGAAUGAAACUCAAACGGAAUUGACGGGGACCCGCACAAGUGGUGGAGCAUGUUGCUUAAUUCGACGGUACACGAAAAACCUUACCUAGACUUGACAUCCUUGGCAAAGUUAUGGAAACAUAAUGGAGGUUAACCGAGUGACAGGUGGUGCAUGGUUGUCGUCAGCUCGUGUCGUGAGAUGUUGGGUUAAGUCCCGCAACGAGCGCAACCCUUAUCGUUAGUUACAUUGUCUAGCGAGACUGCUAAUGCAAAUUGGAGGAAGGAAGGGAUGACGUCAAAUCAUCAUGCCCCUUAUGUCUAGGGCUGCAAACGUGCUACAAUGGCCAAUACAAACAGUCGCCAGCUUGUAAAAGUGAGCAAAUCUGUAAAGUUGGUCUCAGUUCGGAUUGAGGGCUGCAAUUCGUCCUCAUGAAGUCGGAAUCACUAGUAAUCGCGAAUCAGCUAUGUCGCGGUGAAUACGUUCUCGGGUCUUGUACACACCGCCCGUCAAACUAUGAAAGCUGGUAAUAUUUAAAAACGUGUUGCUAACCAUUAGGAAGCGCAUGUCAAGGAUAGCACCGGUGAUUGGAGUUAAGUCGUAACAAGGUACCCCUACGAGAACGUGGGGGUGGAUCACCUCCUUUCUAAUGGAG